This is a long non-coding RNA of Thalassophryne amazonica, 191 nucleotides long. RefSeq lists it as uncharacterized. The record is from RefSeq and is a predicted model, not a curated record. The transcript is spliced from 3 exons. NCBI's taxonomy places the organism in Eukaryota, Metazoa, Chordata, Actinopteri, Batrachoidiformes, Batrachoididae.
UCUGUCUGUCUAGUCAACCUGAUUGGUGGAUUGCUACAGAAAUGGUUGUCCUUCUGGAAGGUUUUCCUCUCUCCAGAGGACUGCUGGAGCUCUAGCAGAGUGACCACCUCUUGGUCACCUCUAAGGCCCUAGGACUAAGGUCCUUUUCCCUCAAUCGCUCAGUUUAGACAGGUGGCCAGCUCUAGGAAGAA